UAACCAUGAUUCCCUUAGUAACGGCGAGUGAAGUGGGAAGUGCUCAAAUUUAAAAUCCCUUUUGGGAAUUGUAAUUUAUAGAAUAAAUGGUUAGUAAGUGGAGAUUAAAGUCUGCUGGAAAGCAUGCGCUAGAAAGGGUGAUAGCCCCGUUCAGUCUCUUAACUUGCUUCUAUGCCAUUAUUUCAACGAGUCAGGUUGCUUGGGAAUGCAGCCUAAAUUUGGUGGUAAACUCCAUCUAAAGCUAAAUAUUGAUCAGUGACCGAUAGCAAACAAGUACCGUGAGGGAAAGAUGAAAAGAACCUUGAAAAGGGGGUUAAAAGUACGUGAAAUUGUUAUUAGGAAAGCACUUAGUCUCAUUGUGGAUUAGAUCAGUCUGUUUCGGCAGAUACUGUCCUAAUUAGUUAUGAUCAGUUAGCGCUGAUAAAGAAAAUUUGUGAUAAGGUAUUAGUGUAGUGCUAAACUUAAAGAUCACUUAUUAUUUGUCGGUACUGACUGAGGAAUGCUACUUAAUCUUUUUGAGUAAAUAGUUUGUGGAGUUAGGUUAAACAACAUGUUGAUUAGCUUAAUUAAAGCGAUCUAUUUGCUUUAGAACUUAAGUACAGGAUCAUAAUUAAAUGAUANU
This 622-nucleotide ribosomal RNA is filed under the name Conidiobolus coronatus. Its description in RNAcentral is "eukaryotic LSU rRNA". It matches the Rfam family "Eukaryotic large subunit ribosomal RNA", at positions 66 to 641 of the family's 3401-position model. Lineage: Eukaryota; Fungi; Entomophthoromycota; Entomophthoromycetes; Entomophthorales; Conidiobolaceae. The record is from RNAcentral.